This 88-nucleotide transfer RNA is filed under the name Sorghum bicolor (sorghum). It matches the Rfam family "tRNA". Rfam says of the family: Transfer RNA (tRNA) molecules are approximately 80 nucleotides in length. Their secondary structure includes four short double-helical elements and three loops (D, anti-codon, and T loops). Lineage: Eukaryota; Viridiplantae; Streptophyta; Magnoliopsida; Poales; Poaceae. The record is from Rfam by way of RNAcentral.
GGGGUGGUGGCGCAGUUGGCUAGCGCGUAGGUCCCAGCUGGAAAUGCGAGUGAUCCUGAGGUCGAGAGUUCAAGCCUCUCUCACACCA